GAUGAAGAACGUAGCGAAAUGCGAUAAGUAGUGUGAAUUGCAGAAUUCAGUGAAUCAUCGAAUCUUUGAACGCACAUUGCGCCCCAUGGUAUUCCGUGGGGCAUGCCUGUUCGAGCGUCAUUUACCCCCUCAAGCUCCGCUUGGUGUUGGGCGUCUGUCCCGCUUCGCGCGCGGACUCGCCCCAAAGGUAUUGGCAGCGGUCGUGCCAGCUUCUCGCGCAGCACAUUGCGCUUCUCGAGGCACCGGUGGGCCCGCGUCCAUCAAGCUCACCCCCCCAGUUUGACCUCGGAUCAGGUAGGGAUACCCGCUGAACUUAAGCAUAACAAUAAGCGGAGGA
Molecule: unclassified non-coding RNA, 337 nt
Filed under: soil metagenome
Description: partial contains 5.8S ribosomal RNA, internal transcribed spacer 2, and large subunit ribosomal RNA
Rfam family: 5.8S ribosomal RNA (bases 1-120)
Source: RNAcentral